Molecule: long non-coding RNA, 1110 nt
Filed under: Triticum aestivum (bread wheat)
Lineage: Eukaryota; Viridiplantae; Streptophyta; Magnoliopsida; Poales; Poaceae
Description: long non-coding RNA (TAES_LNC004451)
Source: RNAcentral
CCCUGCUUCGUCUAACACGCCAAUUCCGAGCCUCCCGCACCAGUCUAGGCAAACGUCCGGCCACCCCUCUUCAUUAGCCAUGGAAAUGCAGCCACUGGCUUCGAGCAUCCGCUCCUCCACCUCGAUCUCCUGCUUGCCGGUGGGGUUCGGGUGUCCCCGCGUGUCCCUACGGUGAGUUCCCGCCGAUGAGCUGACGCUCUGACCCCUUCUUCCACCUCCCCUCCUCGCGGGAGCAAUGCGACAUGUGGCUGUUGCAGUGCACGGGCACUCGAGGUGCAGUGCAGCGUGCGUGUAGCCUAGCUGUAGGAGGGCAUGUGGUCAUCCACCUUCUUCUCCCUCGCAACCCCUGCCCAAUCCCCUGCAGUUCCCGACAUCCCGGCGAGCGCGCAUGAAGUAGUACGCCAGUGGUGCACCGCGCGGUGCGGGCGUUUAUUUGCUCCAUGUUUAUUUGCUGCAGUUAACUUUUGUUUUCUCGUUUUGCAGUGCAGAUUGUAUCGAUGCAGUGCACACAUGUACGAAGGAGAAAACAAGAAUAUCAUCGUUUUUUCUUUCUGAAGUCCAUUAUAUUGUUUGAGAAAACACAAAUAUGAUGCUCGAGUGUGAGAUGAGUUGUGUGUUAAUUUCUGUUGAGAGGUUUACUUUUGUUCAUGGAGAGGUUCGCUUUAUUUCCAUGGUGAAAAAUGCUAAGAAAACAAUGGACUUCGUUUUGUAAAUUUUCCUAGACCAAGAUGUAAUUUUUUUAAACUGAUGUAUUUCAUAUAUUGAUUUUUUUGGUGGUUUUGCUGUCUGAAAAACUAACAAGGUAGUUCACUACAUACAUGUUUUUCAUUUGCUCUCUAUAUCCAUGUUUUUCAUUUUUUGGAAAAGUAAUUUGUUGUGCACUCGGUAACGAAGGAGAAGAGUGCAUCGAUGUUCCUUUAAAAGAAGUUCAUUUUGUUGUUUGAGAAAAUGCAGAGUGGAAAUGAGAGUAAAAAAUGGAUGUGGAUGAAUGCUUGUGUGUAAUGUGUAGCGUGCAAACAAAAAAUGUAGUCCACUCGCGUCGUCCCCGUAGUGCAUAUUUCAUUAACCAAACAAAUGUAUGCAGUGCACUAGGGGGAAACUAAACUCUAG